CCUACGGGAGGCUGCAGUGGGGAAUAUUGGACAAUGGGGGAAACCCUGAUCCAGCGACGCCGCGUGAGUGAAGAAGUAUUUCGGUACGUAAAGCUCUAUCAGCAGGAAAGAAAAUGACGGUACCUGACUAAGAAUCCCCGGCUAACUACGUGCCAGCAGCCGCGGUAAUACGUAGGGGGCAAGCGUUAUCCGGAUUUACUGGGUGUAAAGGGAGCGUAGACGGCAGCGCAAGUCUGGAGUGAAAUGCCGGGGCCCAACCCCCGGACUGCACUGGAAACUGGAAGGCUGGAGUGCAGGAGAGGUAAGCGGAAUUCCUAGUGUAGCGGUGAAAUGCGUAGAUAUUAGGAGGAACACCAGUGGCGAAGGCGGCUUACUGGACUGCAACUGACGUUGAGGCUCGAAAGCGUGGGGAGCAAACAGGAUUAGAUACCCCGGUAGUC
Molecule: ribosomal RNA, 440 nt
Filed under: uncultured bacterium
Lineage: Bacteria
Description: partial 16S ribosomal RNA
Rfam family: Bacterial small subunit ribosomal RNA
Source: RNAcentral